GGGCGAUUAGCUCAGCUGGAAGAGCGCCACGUUCACACCGUGGAGGUCGGGAGAUCGAGACUCCCAUCGCCCACCC
RNAcentral lists this transfer RNA (76 nucleotides) under Acidimicrobiales bacterium. Its description in RNAcentral is "tRNA-Val". It matches the Rfam family "tRNA". From Rfam's summary of the family: Transfer RNA (tRNA) molecules are approximately 80 nucleotides in length. Their secondary structure includes four short double-helical elements and three loops (D, anti-codon, and T loops). Lineage: Bacteria; Bacillati; Actinomycetota; Acidimicrobiia; Acidimicrobiales. The record is from RNAcentral.